RNAcentral lists this ribosomal RNA (253 nucleotides) under uncultured bacterium. RNAcentral describes it as "partial 16S ribosomal RNA". It matches the Rfam family "Bacterial small subunit ribosomal RNA", at positions 524 to 776 of the family's 1533-position model. The record is from RNAcentral.
UACGAGGGGGGCAAGCGUUGUUCGGAAUUAUUGGGCGUAAAGCGCGCGCAGGUGGUUUCUUAAGUCUGAUGUGAAAGCCCCCGGCUCAACCGGGGAGGGUCAUUGGAAACUGGGAAACUUGAGUGCAGAAGAGGAUAGUGGAAUUCCAAGUGUAGCGGUGAAAUGCGUAGAGAUUUGGAGGAACACCAGUGGCGAAGGCGACUGUCUGGUCUGUAACUGACACUGAGGCGCGAAAGCGUGGGGAGCAAACAGG